GACGAACGCUGGCGGCGUGCUUAACACAUGCAAGUCGAACGGAAAGGCCCUGCUUUUGUGGGGUGCUCGAGUGGCGAACGGGUGAGUAACACGUGAGUAACCUGCCCUUGACUUUGGGAUAACUUCAGGAAACUGGGGCUAAUACCGGAUAGGAGCUCCUGCUGCAUGGUGGGGGUUGGAAAGUUUCGGCGGGUGGGGAUGGACUCGCGGCUUAUCAGCUUGUUGGUGGGGUAGUGGCUUACCAAGGCUUUGACGGGUAGGCGGCCUGAGAGGUUGACCGGCCACAUUGGGACUGAGAUACGGCCCAGACUCCUUCGGGCGGCAGCAGUGGGGAAUAUUGCACAAUGGGCGGAAGCCUGAUGCAGCAACGCCGCGUGCGGGAUGACGGCCUUCGGGUUGUAAACCGCUUUCGCCUGUGACGAAGCGUGAGUGACGGUAAUGGGUAAAGAAGCACCGGCUAACUACGUG
This 468-nucleotide ribosomal RNA is filed under the name uncultured bacterium. Its description in RNAcentral is "partial 16S ribosomal RNA". It matches the Rfam family "Bacterial small subunit ribosomal RNA", at positions 28 to 507 of the family's 1533-position model. The record is from RNAcentral.